AUGAACGCUGGCGGCGUGCCUAAUACCUGCAAGUCGCGCGAACGGACGAGAAGCUUGCUUCUCUGAUGUUAGCGGCGGACGGGUGAGUAACACGUGGAUAACCUACCUAUAAGACUGGGAUAACUUCGGGAAACCGGAGCUAAUACCGGAUAAUAUUUUGAACCGCAUGGUUCAAAAGUGAAAGACGGUCUUGCUGUCACUUAUAGAUGGAUCCGCGCUGCAUUAGCUAGUUGGUAAGGUAACGGCUUACCAAGGCAACGAUGCAUAGCCGACCUGAGGGGGGGAUGGGCCACACUGGAACUGAGCCCCGCCCCAGACCCAAAGGGGAGGCGGCAGGGGGGAAUUUUCCGAAAGGGGGGAAAGCCUAACGGGGAAACGCCGGGGGAGUGAUGAAGGUUUGCGGAUCGAAAAACCUUGUUUUUAGGGAAAAACAUAUGUGUAAGUAACUGGGCACAUCUGGAGGGUACCAAAUCAAAAAGCCCCGGCUAACUCCGU
This 495-nucleotide ribosomal RNA is filed under the name uncultured bacterium. RNAcentral describes it as "partial 16S ribosomal RNA". It matches the Rfam family "Bacterial small subunit ribosomal RNA", at positions 29 to 506 of the family's 1533-position model. The record is from RNAcentral.